GGUUGGUUUGAGGUCCGUGGUGUUUACAACUGAUUGAUCACAACCAGUUAGAUUCCUUCUCCGCUCCCACUGCUUCACUUGACCAGCCUUUA
RNAcentral lists this Y RNA (92 nucleotides) under Microcebus murinus (gray mouse lemur). RNAcentral describes it as "Y RNA (ENSMICG00000020429.3)". It matches the Rfam family "Y RNA". Rfam says of the family: Y RNAs are components of the Ro ribonucleoprotein particle (Ro RNP), in association with Ro60 and La proteins. The Y RNAs and Ro60 and La proteins are well conserved, but the function of the Ro RNP is not known. Lineage: Eukaryota; Metazoa; Chordata; Mammalia; Primates; Cheirogaleidae. The record is from Rfam by way of RNAcentral.